GUCUGAAGCUUCCUUCUCACUGACCCGCUUACCUCGGGUGGCUUCUCUUCUGUUGUAUCUUAAGAGGUAGCUGCUGCAAGUCUUUCUUAAUUCACUGGGGAAUAAUGGCAGCCUCUCCAGGCCUUCUGUGUCAAGACCUCAGUCCUGGUUGGCUGCAAAGCUCCUCAUCCAGCCUUGCCAGAUAGUCUUGUUUUGCUUUCUUCUUCUAGUCUUCAAAUCCCACUCUGAUUUUGAGAUUCUUUUGUUAAAGCCCAGCAGCAAGGAUGGUGGAGGGUGCAUUGGGUGUUUGGGUGGCAGGACAGCUGGUUUCUACUCUUGGGUUGGAAAAUGCCAAGCGAUUUGGCUUUGGGGAAAUGACUCCCCUUUUUGGUGUGAGGGAUUAUUUCUAGUAAACUGUAAUGAAGAGAUUUCAUAUCAGUCAACAGAAGUGGUUCUGAGCAUGAUCACUAAGUGGGAGCGGGAGUCACAGGGCCUCAAGGCUUAUCUCCUCCAGGGCAGUUUUAUCCCUGCCCCAGGAAGGAAGUAUGUGGUAAUAUAUUUCCUGGUCUGGCUGCUGGUCGGAAUUUGUGAGGGUGAUUGCCAAAUGAAUUCUCUAUAUGUAAUCCAGAUAUCAACUGGCAUUUCCUGCUCCUGUGAUCUAGAUAAGAGAGGCCUAGCAAGCAGGCCACUUGCCGUAGGUGCCGAGUUUAUGGUCCGCAUCACUUUUUUAUGUAGGCUGAACCUGGCCCACAUGACAUCUGCCCAGAUAUAAAAUUCCACCUCUUCCUUGAUUUCCACCUAAAAUGUCACUCACCUGAGGCAAGGAUCCAUGGAGAUUUGAAGGAGACAUGUGAGAGUACGCUUCAGAAAGGCACGUCCUCCUAGUAAAUGUUCAAUACUGAGAUUCUUAAAUGUUUCCUCAUGCCCAAGUCUGUAUGUUCUACAUUCUUGAGAGGGAACCUAAUAAAAGGAGUUAUUUUUCUCGACAAAUGGAGUUUAUAAAAAGGACUUUGAGAUCUUUCAAAAUAUGAUCUAAUAUAAGAAUCACUUAUUUUUGGAAACACAUUUGUUUAUUCAUUCACAGUUACAUUCAUUCCUUCUAGGCUUUUUUGGUUUGGCCUCUACAGAAGAAAUUAUAAAACUGGUUCAGUACUGCCCCCCAUCAGAUACACUAAUUCCCCAAAUAACGGAAGCCAGUGAUUUCUGCAUGUGAAUUGUCCAGCUUUUAAAGUCAGCCAUUUGGCCGUCUGUGGCCAUUUGGUGAUGUGUUACUUGUGUAUGGACUGCCAGGGUUACUAGUGUGGUCUCGAUGGAAGGUAGCUCUUCAAGGAAGUAGUAAAAGCCAAACUGCACAAAGCAAAUCCUGUAGCUGACAACAAUGUGCCCAGGCUUUUCCAGAUUUGCUCUAGUUAUUCCAAUAAGCACUAUUCAAACUUAUAAACAGAUGAAAGGAGAAAAGAAAGGAGCCUUUAAAGACAAAAAGAGGGCUUCUUUCUGCCAGUGAAACAUUUCUCAGGUAAGAUCACAUCAUCUGCAAUAUGGCUUGCAAAUGUGUGUUUAAGAUAAUUUUUGGAACAGCCUAGACCAACCAGUUAAAGUGACUAGGGGUUAAACUCCAGGAGGC
Molecule: long non-coding RNA, 1603 nt
Filed under: Homo sapiens (human)
Lineage: Eukaryota; Metazoa; Chordata; Mammalia; Primates; Hominidae
Description: HSALNT0324568
Source: RNAcentral